CAGUCGCCACGGUAAUACGUAGGGUGCGAGCGUUAAUCGGAAUUACUGGGCGUAAAGCGUGCGCAGGCGGUUUUGUAAGACAGGCGUGAAAUCCCCGGGCUCAACCUGGGAAUGGCGCUUGUGACUGCAAAGCUAGAGUGCGGCAGAGGGGGAUGGAAUUCCGCGUGUAGCAGUGAAAUGCGUAGAUAUGCGGAGGAACACCGAUGGCGAAGGCAAUCCCCUGGGCCUGCACUGACGCUCAUGCACGAAAGCGUGGGGAGCAAACAGGAUUAGAGACCCGAGUAGUCCCUGUCUCUUAUAC
RNAcentral lists this ribosomal RNA (301 nucleotides) under uncultured bacterium. Its description in RNAcentral is "partial 16S ribosomal RNA". It matches the Rfam family "Bacterial small subunit ribosomal RNA", at positions 509 to 807 of the family's 1533-position model. The record is from RNAcentral.